Molecule: ribosomal RNA, 420 nt
Filed under: uncultured bacterium
Lineage: Bacteria
Description: bacterial SSU rRNA
Rfam family: Bacterial small subunit ribosomal RNA
Source: RNAcentral
AUUGAACGCUGGCGGCAUGCUUUACACAUGCAAGUCGAACGGUAACAGGGACUUCGGUCUGCUGACGAGUGGCGAACGGGUGAGUAACAUAUCGGAACGUGCCCAGUAAUGGGGGAUAGCUCGGCGAAAGCCGGAUUAAUACCGCAUACGCCCUGAGGGGGAAAGUGGGGGAUCUUCGGACCUCACGUUAUUGGAGCGGCCGAUAUCAGAUUAGCUAGUUGGUGGGGUAAAGGCCUACCAAGGCGACGAUCUGUAGCUGGUCUGAGAGGAUGAUCAGCCACACUGGGACUGAGACACGGCCCAGACUCCUACGGGAGGCAGCAGUGGGGAAUUUUGGACAAUGGGCGAAAGCCUGAUCCAGCCAUGCCGCGUGAGUGAAGAAGGCCUCGGUGUAAGAUCUUCUAGUGGGAGGAGUAAUAG